RNAcentral lists this ribosomal RNA (460 nucleotides) under uncultured bacterium. RNAcentral describes it as "partial 16S ribosomal RNA". It matches the Rfam family "Bacterial small subunit ribosomal RNA", at positions 338 to 795 of the family's 1533-position model. The record is from RNAcentral.
CCUACGGGGUGCAGCAGUGAGGAAUAUUGGUCAAUGGACGAGAGUCUGAACCAGCCAAGUAGCGUGAAGGAUGACUGCCCUAUGGGUUGUAAACUUCUUUUAUAUGGGAAUAAAAUGUUCCACGUGUGGGAUUUUGUAUGUACCAUAUGAAUAAGGAUCGGCUAACUCCGUGCCAGCAGCCGCGGUAAUACGGAGGAUCCGAGCGUUAUCCGGAUUUAUUGGGUUUAAAGGGAGCGUAGGUGGAUUGUUAAGUCAGUUGUGAAAGUUUGCGGCUCAACCGUAAAAUUGCAGUUGAAACUGGCAGUCUUGAGUGCAGUAGAGGUAGGCGGAAUUCGUGGUGUAGCGGUGAAAUGCUUAGAUAUCACGAAGAACUCCGAUUGCGAAGGCAGUUCACUGGACUGCAACUGACACUGAGGCUCGAAAGUGUGGGUAUCAAACAGGAUUAGAUACCCUUGUAGUC